RNAcentral lists this long non-coding RNA (486 nucleotides) under Aotus nancymaae (Ma's night monkey). RNAcentral's name for it is "lncRNA (ENSANAG00000039365.1)". The record is from RNAcentral. Lineage: Eukaryota; Metazoa; Chordata; Mammalia; Primates; Aotidae.
GGGAACGGCCGGGGAGUCGCACGUGGAGGUAGAGGGCGGACACCUCCCUCAGCCAGGGCAAGACUGAGGAGCAGAAAAUCCUGCAGUGUCCUGGGAAGAACAAGGAUGCUUAGAGUUCAAAUCCUGCCUGGUUACCUAAACUCCCUGGACUUCUGUGUCUCUAUCUCUAAAAUGGCCAUCAACUCAAAUGGCUAUGGGAAAAUUAAAUGAGACUGAGCACCUGUGUAGAUAUUGUGAAAUACCAGAUCAUAAAGGACAGAGGAAUCCUGAAGAGGAUAAAAUCAUAGAGAGAUGGGGCCAGUUAACGUUACCAAAGGAGCUGGGCUUGGAGAGAGAAAAUAACCCUUGAGAUGACUGGAGUUGAUUCAUCCUGUUGGGGGCAGACUGAAGAGGCCAGAGGCCAGCGCUCAGUUCCUUCUCCUGAGAGUCCCAGUACUACUGUAAGUCCUGUCCUCUCUCCGUUCUGUGGGCUUCUCAAUGUUUUUU